GACGAACGCUGGCGGCGUGCUUAACACAUGCAAGUCGAACGGAAAGGCCCUGCUUUUGUGGGGUGCUCGAGUGGCGAACGGGUGAGUAACACGUGAGUAACCUGCCCUUGACUUUGGGAUAACUUCAGGAAACUGGGGCUAAUACCGGAGAGGAGCUCCUGCUGCAUGGGGGGGUUUGGAAAGUUUCGGCGGUGGGGGAUGGACUCGCGGCUUAUCAGCUUGUUGGUGGGGUAGUGGCUGACCAAGGCUUUGACGGGUAGCCGGCCUGAGAGGGUGACCGGCCACAUUGGGACUGAGGUACGGCCCAGACUCCUACGGGAGGCAGCAGUGGGGAAUAUUGCACAAUGGGCGGAAGCCUGAUACAGCAACGCCGCGUGCGGGAUGCCGGCCUUCGGGUUGUAAACCGCUUUCGCAUGUGACGAAGCGUGAGUGACGGUAAUGGGUAAAGAAGCACCGGCUAACUACGUG
RNAcentral lists this ribosomal RNA (468 nucleotides) under uncultured bacterium. RNAcentral's name for it is "partial 16S ribosomal RNA". It matches the Rfam family "Bacterial small subunit ribosomal RNA", at positions 28 to 507 of the family's 1533-position model. The record is from RNAcentral.